AAUAAGAUUUGCUGAGCAUAAGAUAAGAGCUCUGUUAUUAUUUAUCUGCUGCAGUAACACGAUAGCAUAAUUCAAAGAGAGGCACAUUCAUUUUAUUCCUUAUGCCUUUGUGCCAUUCACCUUGGAGAAAAUAAGAUAGAAGACUUUGGUGGUAUAAAAAUAGCACAAGCUAUGGAGUAGAUGGUUGGAAUUUAAACUUAGGACACUGUAUUUGAUCCCAUUCUAUUUUUUUUUAUUACCCAGUCUUGCUCUGUAAAUUGCAGUCCAAGUAGGAUCAGAAUAGUUGAAAUGGUUUGUCAGUGAAGUCACUGCCAGAAUGGCCACUCCAUGGAAUUUGUUCCUAAUGAGAUUAUUAAGCCUGUGUUUACUCUGUGGACUCCGAAUCACUGAUGUAAACUAAUACAUUGUUAUUUUGCUGCCAAGAUUGCAUCAGUUCAUUUUCUUUUCUGACAGAUUAAAUCUGAUGCGGCAGCCGUCCCCGUCCCCCCGCAGGAAUGUACAGCCAGGGUGUAUGGUACAGGAUGUUUAGAGCUGCAAGAGGCUGUCUUCUUGAGGAAGGGAAAUGCCCUGGGGAAAUGGCCUUUACCAAAUUGCCAGCGAAGUGAGUGCUUCAUAAUAAUCAGAGGUUGGCUCUAACCAAAACCUUGGACUUUGGAAUAACUGAAUUUGGAAUAAAUGCAAACUUAGCAGGAGAAUGGAAAACACAAGAUGUACUACUUCACAGGGCUCAACAUGAGAACUUCAGUGGAGAUGCCUCCUAAUCCCAUGGUUGGGACACUUAAGGACACCGACUCCAAAGAAAAAUGUUCCCAAAGUACUCACGCUAGAGCCAUAAUCCCAUAAGGCCAGGAGCGGAUUUCCAGCCUCUUCAGGCUUUUCAUCUCAUCAGAUGUCAGCACCAUCCCGCUAUCCGACUCGCUUUCCUGUACAGCAAAAGGAACAGGACAUCAGUAACAUAGUAACUGAAAAGACAGCGCUGCAGCUCUCUCGGAUUGACAGCAAGGGGGAAAAAGCGUGAUGGAGAAUUUGUACUGGGCAGCAAUUAAAGCCACUGGAGAAGGAAGAGCAAAGGGGCCAGUUCAAACACCAAGUUCCAGCUGGAGUCUAGCCUUCUCUCACUUACUCUUCUGAAGCAUUUUUUGUGUUGUGAUAGGGGCCAGACUCUCAGUCCUACAGGCUGAAUUCCCUCAUUUGUCCACAGAGCAGGUAAAGCCCAGGCAGGAGCAGUGCAAGGUUUCCUCAUCCCUGGAGAGGCUGCCACUAGGUAGGGUGACCAGACAGCAAGUGUGAAAAAUCAGGACAGGGAGUGGGGGGUGAUAGGCACCUAUAUAAGACAAAGACCCAAAUAUCGGGACUGUCCCUAUAAAAUUGGGACAUCUGGUCACCCUACCACUAGGUGGGGUUGAGGUUCCAAGGCCAGUUCAGUUACUGGCCUCUCAGGCACUGACUGCUGACAAGGAAGCCAUUUGUAGUGGUGAUUAUUAUUACUAUUUUUUUUAGGUACACAGUAGUGUACCAGGAGCUGGAGUGAGACCUACCAACUCAUGCCACACACAGCACCAAAGAGUCUUCAGAUGAGCAUUUGCCAAGUUUGGGUUGGACUCAAAUCAACAACCUACAGCGCUAACGCUCUGUAUUAUGGCCCCCAUUCAGCAAAAGCACUGGCACACGUACUUUAAAAACUCACCUCUAUGCAGAAAAGCACUUAAAAACACACACAACUUUCAGCUCUUCCAUAACGCCCACUGAUUUGGAAGUUAAGCCCAUGUUUGUGUGCUUUGCUAAAUUGGGGCCUAUGUUACCGUUCCGCUUAGCCAUCUGGGCCCCUUGGUACUUUUUGUUUAGUCUUUGAAAAUUUGCCUUGUUUUUAUGGAGUUAAAAAUGUUAUUGAUCAUUUUUCAAACGGCCAUAAAAUGCAGUGAUAUGCACAGGGCUCAAAUAAUGUAUACAGACGGAAAGACAUUAAUAGUGGGGGAAGACUGUGUCAAAUAAAAGAAAGCAAACAUAAGUGAUGAUUCUUCUCUCUUAUUUUGGCUUUCUGGUAUUUUAAAGAGAAAUUCUACAUACACAUAUCACAACAAGAAGCUUUUUUGCCAUUUCAGACUUGAAAUCUGUUAUUAAACAUGAUGUAGGGGUAUCUUCUAGAUUGCGAAGCUGAAAUCUGAAUGAAGGUUUAUAAAGUGCACAUCCAUUUAUAGGUCUCCUGAGUUAAACACUAUCUUAAAUAUCUUCUAGAAUU
Molecule: long non-coding RNA, 2239 nt
Organism: Mauremys mutica (yellowpond turtle)
Lineage: Eukaryota; Metazoa; Chordata; Testudines; Geoemydidae
Exons: 3
Source: RefSeq, a predicted model, not a curated record